AUGAAAUCUGUACUGGCACCCAUCCUAUCUUUUGUCACAGCGGACGCCCUUUACCGAUUGAACCAUGACUGGGUAGCCAAUAAACAUAUGAUGCAUGUAUUCAGAGAUGAGUCAAUAACUUGGCAGCAAGCAAAAGAGUUGUGCAAAUUUGAGAAGGCUGCAAUGCUAAAGAUUGAAAGUGAUGAGGAAGAGCUGUACAUUGAAGAUUACAUUAGGGGGAGAGAAGUCGCUUACUGGAUGGCCCUCCGGAGGAAGAAAGAUGACCUUUUUUACUGGGAUACAGACGGAACGGAGGUGCCAAAAAAGGACGGCUAUUGGACAGUUGGUGAACCAAUUGAAAAUGACAAAGUCAACUGUGCUUUCAUAAAAGCAUACUGCUAUGAAAAUUUGAAAUGUUGGUCGGCUGGUAAAUGUACUUUAAAAGCAAGAACUAUUUGUAAGGUUAAGGCGAAACCAAAGUGGCUGACUUGACUGCGCAUCUGAAGACAAACGUCCCUGUAUUCCCCGAAUGUUGUGAAAGAAACGAGGACACCACUGUAUCGGGACACAGAAGCCACAGCCAGCUGACCAGGAUAUUAAACACAAACAUAAAAAAGACUUCUCUGAUGUCAUUAUUGAAAAACACCCUUUCAGUCCAAUUUCCUUGAGAAUGGCUUUUGCCAGCUGACUGAGGGGCGGGGGUGGUUCCACCAUGGCUCAGUACUCAUGGGUCCUGGGAGUUGUAGCACCAGCUAAAGGUCUUCUCUGCCUGGCCUCUCUCAGGUGGAGCCAGGGCAGUUAAAGUGGUGCAAUGUGCGUGCAGUUGGAGGGUGGUCUCUCAAUCCAAGCUCCUUCUCCAGGAGACCAGAGGGGCCAUUUUCUCAUGCAGAGCCCGACCAUUUUCUUUUGCUUGAGGGGUGCCCCCUCGGCCGCGUCUCAGCCAGAUGAGAUCUUACCCAAUGGAAUCUCUGGAGGGACGGGACGCUUUCGCUGAGAGUUGUGAGCAGUGCACCCAUUUCUUCAGUGGCCUCUGGGUCAGCAGUUAGUGAAGUCAGUCCGCCAACCGAACACAAGCGGCAGCUUCAACAACACCACGAAGAACUAGGUGGCUAGUUGUCCAGAUGUCCUGUGGGGCGGAGGCCUACACCCAGCCCGCAGCCCAGCAGUCUCCUAAACCUGCAAUCCUGCAAGACUAGGCUACACCUCUCUAAGAAAAGCUAGAUCUUUGUGCCCACUUAGAAAUUUGUUACCAGACCCUGAGAGUGUCCUGGGGAACUCCCUGCAGCCUCUCCCACCGAGGAAUUUGCUUGGCCUAUGCUCAUUCAUAAAAAGGCAAGUUCAUUAAUUUCAAAAAACCAAUUUAGGUGCAGGGAGGCAAAUCAGUGCCAUUGAGGUGAUUAAUGACUUUUUUUUUGGGGGGGGGGGGGUUGUUUUGUUUUUUUAAAACUGCCUGCAAAGGGCUGCUUCUUGCAGGGAAUGGGAGUAAAAGCAACGGCCAAUGGAAUGGCAGUUCAUGACGACAGGAGGGCCUCUUAGCAGUGGUUGGAGAGCGCCUGGUUGGACGCCUGACUCCCUCCCACUCGAUGGCUGGUGGAAUGGCCGUUCAUGAUGGCAGGAGGGCUUCUCUGCAGUGGUUGGAGAGUGCCUGGUUGGACGCCUGACUCCCUCCCACUCGACAGCUGGUGGAAUGGCCGUUCAUGAUGGCAGGAGGGCUUCUCUGCAGUGGUUGGAGAGCGCCUGGUUGGUAGCUUGACUCCCUCCCACUCGACGGCUGGUGGAAUGGCCGUUCAUGAUGGCAGGAGGGCUUCUCUGCAGUGGUUGGAGAGUGCCUGGUUGGACGCCUGACUCCCUCCCACUCGACAGCUGGUGGAAUGGCCGUUCAUGAUGGCAGGAGGGCUUCUCUGCAGUGGUUGGAGAGCGCCUGGUUGGUAGCUUGACUCCCUCCCACUCGACGGCUGGUGGAAUGGCCGUUCAUGAUGGCAGGAGGGCUUCUCUGCAGUGGUUGGAGAGUGCCUGGUUGGACGCCUGACUCCCUCCCACUCGACAGCUGGUGGAAUGGCCGUUCAUGAUCGCAGGAGGGCUUCUCAGCAGUGGUUGGAGAGCGCCUGGUUGGUAGCUUGACUCCCUCCCACUCGACGGCUGGUGGAAUGGCCGUUCAUGAUGGCAGGAGGGCUUCUCUGCAGUGGUUGGAGAGCGCCUGGUUGGUAGCUUGACUCCCUCCCACUCGACGGCUGGUGGAAUGGCCGUUCAUGAUGGCAGGAGGGCUUCUCUGCAGUGGUUGGAGAGCGCCUGGUUGGACGCCUGACUCCCUCCCACUCGAUGGCUGGUGGAAUGGCCGUUCAUGAUGGCAGGAGGGCUUCUCUGCAGUGGUUGGAGAGCGCCUGGUUGGUAGCUUGACUCCCUCCCACUCGAUGGCUG
Molecule: long non-coding RNA, 2397 nt
Filed under: Anolis carolinensis (green anole)
Lineage: Eukaryota; Metazoa; Chordata; Lepidosauria; Squamata; Anolidae
Description: lncRNA (ENSACAG00000035882.1)
Source: RNAcentral